Molecule: unclassified non-coding RNA, 378 nt
Filed under: uncultured delta proteobacterium
Lineage: Bacteria; Deltaproteobacteria
Description: contains 16S-23S intergenic spacer region
Source: RNAcentral
UCUGGCUUAUAGCCAAGCGGUCUCACUAGAGUGCCCAACUUAAUGAUGGCAACUAGUGACGAGGGUUGCGCUCGUUGCGGGACUUAACCCAACAUCUCACAACACGAGCUGACGACAGCCAUGCAGCACCUGUCUCCGCGUCUCCGAAGAGAACUCCGACUUUCGCCGGAUAGCACGGGAUGUCAAGCCUAGGUAAGGUUUUUCGCGUAGCAUCGAAUUGAACCACAUGCUCCACCGCUUGUGCGGGCCCCCGUCAAUUCCUUUGAGUUUUAAUCUUGCGACCGUACUCCCCAGGCGGGAUACUUAAUGCGUUAGCUGCGUUACCGAAACUAUUAGAAAUUCCGACAACUAGUAUCCAUCGUUUAAGGCGUGGACUAC